Long non-coding RNA from Mytilus californianus (California mussel), 751 nucleotides. RefSeq lists it as uncharacterized. NCBI's taxonomy places the organism in Eukaryota, Metazoa, Mollusca, Bivalvia, Mytilida, Mytilidae. The transcript is spliced from 5 exons. The record is from RefSeq and is a predicted model, not a curated record.
UUAAAGGAAACCAGUUUGAAAUUUGUGAUUUCAAAUAUUUCUUUUUUGAAAUGAAAUCACAGCUUCAAAUUAGGAACAUCUUAUGAACUUCUAAAAUUUCAGCCAUUAAAACAAUACCUAGGGAUAUCCAGUCUAGCUUCAUAUACAGUAUAUUGCAAUGAUCAGAUAUGAGGUCUAGGUUUAACAAAAUUUAUCUUCAACAAAUUAAAAAUAUCAUUUUCUGUAGUUUUCACAUGAGAUCUGUCUAUAGGAUUGCGUAAAGACUAUUUCUUUUUCAAUUACAGAUACAUCCACGGAAUUGUCCUGGUGGAAUGAGGAAAAGAAAUAGUGAUACAAUAUCGAAUUUCCGUGACACAGACACAGCAUCUAUAACAGAAGUAUACCUACAAAAUAAACAGUUAUCUUUAGGAUCUUUAAAUAAAAUAAUAAAUGAUUUUUUAGAUGUAAGAGAACAAAGGCCUGUAAAUACAUAUGACGAUAUUCUUUAUGAUCAAGAAUACAAUUUUGAUGGCAAUUGAGGAUAUAAAAAGAUGGCGCUUCGGUGAAUGGUGUUAGGAAGAUGAAAAAUUGGUUUAUUAAUAAAAUUAACUAGACAGUUAGCCUUCAUGAACUAAUUCCAUUACUGUACAAUAAACUUAAACUUUAACAAUGACCUUUAAAUCAGUCGUUAUAAAAAUGAAUAAAAUGAAAUAUCUUGUUAUAAUAACACAAAUGUAUAAAAUGUUUGAAUAAAUCGGUUUUUCAACAGCUU